UGGGGAAUUUUGGACAAUGGGCGAAAGCCUGAUCCAGUAAUGCCGCGUGCAGGAAGAAGGCCUUCGGGUUGUAAACUGCUUUUGUACGGAACGAAAAGGCUCUUUCUAAUAAAGAGGGCCCAUGACGGUACCGUAAGAAUAAGCACCGGCUAACUACGUGCCAGCAGCCGCGGUAAUACGUAGGGUGCGAGCGUUAAUCGGAAUUACUGGGCGUAAAGCGUGCGCAGGCGGUUCUAUAAGACAGAUGUGAAAUCCCCGGGCUCAACCUGGGAAUGGCAUUUGUGACUGUAGAGCUAGAGUACGGUAGAGGGGGAUGGAAUUCCGCGUGUAGCAGUGAAAUGCGUAGAUAUGCGGAGGAACACCGAUGGCGAAGGCAAUCCCCUGGACCUGUACUGACGCUCAUGCACGAAAGCGUGGGGAGCAAACAGGAUUAGAUACCCCCGUAGUCCCUGAGCGGGCUGGCAAGGCGCAU
This 472-nucleotide ribosomal RNA is filed under the name uncultured bacterium. Its description in RNAcentral is "bacterial SSU rRNA". It matches the Rfam family "Bacterial small subunit ribosomal RNA", at positions 355 to 825 of the family's 1533-position model. The record is from RNAcentral.